GAUGAAGAACGCAGCGAAAUGCGAUAAGUAAUGUGAAUUGCAGAAUUCAGUGAAUCAUCGAAUCUUAGAACGCACCUUGCGCCCUUUGGCUAUUCCGAAGGGCAUGCCUGUUUGAGUAUCAUGAACACCUCAACUCUUCACGGCUUGCCGUGAUGAGUUUGGACUUUGGGGGUCUUGCUGGCCUACGAGCCAGCUCCUCUCAAAUGUAUUAGCUUGCCGGUGUUUGGUGGCAUCACAGGUGUGAUAACUAUCUACGCUUGUGGUUUUCCACUAGGUAACCUUCAGCAAUGGAGGUUCACCGGAGCUCACAAAUGUCUCUCCUUGCCAAGGACAGAUUUUGACCAUUUGAUCUCAAAUCAGGUAGGACUACCCGCUGAACUUAAGCAUAUCAAUAAGCGGAGGA
This 403-nucleotide unclassified non-coding RNA is filed under the name soil metagenome. Its description in RNAcentral is "partial contains 5.8S ribosomal RNA, internal transcribed spacer 2, and large subunit ribosomal RNA". The stretch from base 1 to 121 matches the Rfam family "5.8S ribosomal RNA", at positions 35 to 154 of the family's 154-position model. The record is from RNAcentral.